This 749-nucleotide ribosomal RNA is filed under the name uncultured bacterium. Its description in RNAcentral is "bacterial SSU rRNA". It matches the Rfam family "Bacterial small subunit ribosomal RNA", at positions 62 to 826 of the family's 1533-position model. The record is from RNAcentral.
UGGAACGAAUCUUCGGAGGAGGGAAAUGGUGACUGAGUGGUGGACGGGUGAGUAACGCGUGGGUAACCUGCCUCGUACAGGGGGACAACAGUUGGAAACGACUGCUAAUACCGCAUAAGCGCACGAUACUGCAUGGUAUUGUGUGAAAAACUGAGGUGGUACGAGAUGGACCCGCGUCUGAUUAGCUGGUUGGUGGGGUAACGGCCUACCAAGGCGACGAUCAGUAGCCGACCUGAGAGGGUGACCGGCCACAUUGGGACUGAGACACGGCCCAAACUCCUACGGGAGGCAGCAGUGGGGAAUAUUGCACAAUGGGGGAAACCCUGAUGCAGCGACGCCGCGUGAAGGAAGAAGUAUUUCGGUAUGUAAACUUCUAUCAGCAGGGAAGAAAAUGACGGUACCUGAGUAAGAAGCCCCGGCUAACUACGUGCCAGCAGCCGCGGUAAUACGUAGGGGGCAAGCGUUAUCCGGAUUUACUGGGUGUAAAGGGAGCGUAGACGGUAAUGUAAGUCUGAUGUGAAAGCCCGGGGCUCAACCCCGGGACUGCAUUGGAAACUAUGUAACUAGAGUACCGGAGAGGUAAGCGGAAUUCCUAGUGUAGCGGUGAAAUGCGUAGAUAUUAGGAGGAACACCAGUGGCGAAGGCGGCUUACUGGACGGAAACUGACGUUGAGGCUCGAAAGCGUGGGGAGCAAACAGGAUUAGAUACCCUGGUAGUCCACGCCGUAAACGAUGACUACUAGGUGUCGG